CUCUGACGCUUUGCCUUGUUAUUAUUCGUUGAAAAUCUUUUAUAUGUUUGUAAACAUUCAAGUCGAUGUGGUAGUUGAUUAUUUGGAGUUGGCUUUCUGCUGCGGAAAACCACCGGUUUGUGAAUUUCCAUACACGUUUUUAGAACAGCGUUUUUGCAAAUAUAAUAGUGACCACCUUUCAUACAAUACAUAAACUACAGUUAGGAAGUUCUGUUAGAAUAUUUGCUAAUAAAUUGUUUUUAAAAGUUUUUAUUUGUAAGACUUCACAGACGAGCAACUGCUGCGGAAGGUGCGUGUUGAAGAGCUAGGUGGCACAACUAUUGCGGUUUUUAGAAACGAAAGCACGUAUGUGCGUAUUUCUACCAUUGUCUCAUGUGGUGCUACGGGCAAUUUCAUAGGUGACUUUGAGCGUUCUGUGUACGAUGGUGCAAAUACCUAGUUAAGUGUUUAACAUGUGACGGUCAUCAUGUGCCUAGUAAUGCUACCUCUGAAAUCAAUUUGACUUCCGAACUGGCUGUCCACGUCGAUACCAAUAUGCUGUACGUAGAUGCAUGCGCAACACCCACACGAGCAAGUCCUCGCGCUUUACGUCGACAAUUACACGUUUUUGAUUUCUGCCUGAAUAAGUGCAGCGUUCCAACACGAGCAAGUGCACCCACAUUCCUCAUAUUUCCACUCCGAUUCAUUACUGCGACGCCAUAGAUAACUAGAUGUGAAACU
Molecule: long non-coding RNA, 720 nt
Organism: Anastrepha obliqua
Lineage: Eukaryota; Metazoa; Arthropoda; Insecta; Diptera; Tephritidae
Exons: 4
Source: RefSeq, a predicted model, not a curated record